CCGAAUUGUCAACAUGAAGUUGUUGCUGGCCCUCAGAUGGGGGCAUGUGCACACUCUGUUUACACAUCCACUCACACCUGUGCACUCUCUGUAGUUCUAUGGUUUGGGGGCUCGGUCCCCCUGCUGUGGUUCUGCGUAUUUACACACACACACUGUAAUAAAGUCUCAUGGAAUGUACGCCGCGUUUAACGCAAUGCAAUA
RNAcentral lists this unclassified non-coding RNA (201 nucleotides) under uncultured Tomentella. Its description in RNAcentral is "sequence contains ITS1". The record is from RNAcentral. Lineage: Eukaryota; Fungi; Basidiomycota; Agaricomycetes; Thelephorales; Thelephoraceae.